UGCUCAAGUCCAUGUGUGCCGGGCAGAGGCUAGCGAGCGAGCCCCAGGACCCUGCGGCCGUGUCUCUGCCCACGUCGAGCGUGCCCGAGACCCGAGAAGGGACUGGGUCACUACUGAGGGGAGGAGAGGAAGCUCAGAUGGCGGCAAACUGAAGGGAAGCCGACUCUGAGUCAGGCCUAGGUGCACGGCCUGCCAUGCUGCGUGCUGUGGGGAGCUGAGAGCGCAUGGGCACCU
RNAcentral lists this long non-coding RNA (234 nucleotides) under Homo sapiens (human). RNAcentral describes it as "non-protein coding lnc-RAB6D-1:1". Lineage: Eukaryota; Metazoa; Chordata; Mammalia; Primates; Hominidae. The record is from RNAcentral.